UUUUUGUUUGUCUUUUUUAUUUUUAUGUAAAUUGAAAGUUUUAUUCUUGCUUUAGAUUAUGUUUUUUUGAUGUUUUAUAUAUAACUUUUGUUAGGUUAAAUACUGUGUUUUUGUAGUGGUUAUUAUUGGAUAUUAAGUUAUUUUAGAUUCAGCAAUUUUUUUAGAAAAGGCUAAUGUCGUGCCAGCAGCCGCGGUUAUACGUUAUUUUCUUAUAUAAUUUUUUUGGGGGCAGUUAUUUAUUUUUUGGUAUUUUAAUGUUUCAAUAUUUGGUGGAAUAUUAUUUUGGUGUAUUAUACUUGAAUAAUUUUGAUCUGUUAAGGCUAGAGCUUAAACUAGGAUUAGAUACCCUAUUAUUUUAGAAUUAAUUCUAUCCCAGGGUAGUACAGUUUUUCUAGAAACUCAAAGAAUUUGGCGGCAUUUUAUCUUUUUAGAGGAACCUGUUCCGUGAUUGAUGUUACACGAUUGGCUAUACUAAAUUUAUUUGUUUGUAUAUCUCCGUUAUUAGAAGAUUUAAGGGUAAUAUCUUCGGUUUUUUUUAUUGGAAUUGAUUUCAGGUCAAGGUGCAGCUUAUAAUUUAGUUGGAAAUGGGUUACAAUAAUUUAAUUUAAAUGGAUUUUCAUUUUAGAUUUUGGAUUGAAGGUGGAUUUAUUAGUAAAAUUUAAUAAUUAUUAAUUUUGAAUUAGUUCUGAUUUGUGUACAUAUCGCCCGUCACUCUCAUUUUUUGAGAUAAGUCGUAACAAAGUAGAUUUACUGGAAGGUGAAUCUGGUUG
Molecule: non-coding RNA, 770 nt
Filed under: Scelimena sp. 1 JL-2023a
Lineage: Eukaryota; Metazoa; Arthropoda; Insecta; Orthoptera; Tetrigidae
Source: RNAcentral